AUUCCGGCUCAGGAUGAACGCUAGCUACAGGCUUAACACAUGCAAGUCGAGGGGCAGCAUUGGAGUAGCAAUACUUCAGAUGGCGACCGGCGCACGGGUGAGUAACACGUAUCCAACCUGCCGCUUACUCGGGGAUAGCCUUUACGAAAGAAAGAUUAAUACCCGAUGGUAUAAAGAGUUCGCAUGUUCUCUUUAUUAAAGAAUUUCGGUAAGCGAUGGGGAUGCGUUCCAUUAGAUAGUUGGCGGGGUAACGGCCCACCAAGUCUACGAUGGAUAGGGGUUCUGAGAGGAAGGUCCCCCACAUUGGAACUGAGACACGGUCCAAACUCCUACGGGAGGCAGCAGUGAGGAAUAUUGGUCAAUGGGCGGGAGCCUGAACCAGCCAAGUCGCGUAGAAGGAAGAAGGAUCUAUGGUUCGUAAACUUCUUUUGCAGGGGAAUAAAGUGCAGGACGUGUCCUGUUUUGUAUGUACCCUGAGAAUAAGGAUCGGCUAACUCCGUGCCAGCAGCCGC
Molecule: ribosomal RNA, 512 nt
Filed under: uncultured bacterium
Lineage: Bacteria
Description: bacterial SSU rRNA
Rfam family: Bacterial small subunit ribosomal RNA
Source: RNAcentral